This 465-nucleotide ribosomal RNA is filed under the name uncultured bacterium. RNAcentral's name for it is "bacterial SSU rRNA". It matches the Rfam family "Bacterial small subunit ribosomal RNA", at positions 338 to 795 of the family's 1533-position model. The record is from RNAcentral.
CCUACGGGCGGCACCAGUAGGGAAUCUUCGGCAAUGGACGAAAGUCUGACCGAGCAACGCCGCGUGAGUGAAGAAGGUUUUCGGAUCGUAAAACUCUGUUGUUAGAGAAGAACAAGGACGUUAGUAACUGAACGUCCCCUGGCGGUAUCUAACCAGAAAGCCACGGCUAACUACGUGCCAGCAGCCGCGGUAAUACGUAGGUGGCAAGCGCUGUCCGGAUUUAUUGGGCGUAAAGCGAGCGCAGGCGGUUUCUUAAGUCUGAUGUGAAAGCCCCCGGCUCAACCGGGGAGGGUCAUUGGAAACUGGGAGACUUGAGUGCAGAAGAGGAGAGUGGAAUUCCAUGUGUAGCGGUGAAAUGCGUAGAUAUAUGGAGGAACACCAGUGGCGAAGGCGGCUCUCUGGUCUGUAACUGACGCUGAGGCUCGAAAGCGUGGGGAGCAAACAGGAUUAGAUACCCUCGUAGUC